CGUACGGUGCGGAACACGUGUGCAACUNAGCUUUAUCUGGGAAUAGCUUNCGAAAGGAGAUAUACCCCAUAAUAUGUUUGAAUGGCUCAUUCGACAUUGAAAACUCCGGUGGAUAGAAUGGGCACGCGCAAGAAUUAAAUAAGUGGUGAGGUAACGGUCACCAAGUCUACGAUCUUUAGGGGGCCUGAGAAGGGUGAUCCCCCAAUUGGUACUGGAAACACGGACCAAANUCCUACGGGAGGCAGCAGUGAGGAAUAUUGGACAAUGGGUGAAGAAGCCUGAAUCCAAGCCAAUCCCGGUGAAAGGAACGAUUGCCCUAAUGGGUUGUAAAACUUCUUUGGUAUAGGGAUAAACCUACCCUCGUGAAGGGUAAGCUGAAGGUACUAUACGAAUAAGCACCGGCUAACUCCGUGCCAGCAGCCGCGGUAAUACGGAGGGUGCAAGCGUUAUCCGGAUUAUGGGGUUUAAAGGGUCCGUAGGCGGAAUCUGUAAGUCAGUGGUGAGAUCUCGCAGCUUAACUGUGAAGCUGCCAUUGAUACUGUAGGUCUUGAGUGUUGCUGAAGUUAGCUGGAAUAAGUAGUGUACGGUGAAAUGCUUAGA
This 600-nucleotide ribosomal RNA is filed under the name uncultured bacterium. RNAcentral describes it as "bacterial SSU rRNA". It matches the Rfam family "Bacterial small subunit ribosomal RNA", at positions 99 to 694 of the family's 1533-position model. The record is from RNAcentral.